RNAcentral lists this ribosomal RNA (374 nucleotides) under uncultured organism. RNAcentral describes it as "partial 16S ribosomal RNA". It matches the Rfam family "Bacterial small subunit ribosomal RNA", at positions 527 to 896 of the family's 1533-position model. The record is from RNAcentral.
GUAGGUGGCAAGCGUUGUCCGGAAUUAUUGGGCGUAAAGCGCGCGCAGGUGGGUUCUUUAAGUCUGAUGUGAAAGCCCCCGGGCUCAACCGGGGAGGGUCAUUGGAAACCGGGGAACUUGAGUGCAGGAGAGGAAAGUGGAAUUCCACGUGUAGCGGUGAAAUGCGUAGAUAUGUGGAGGAACACCAGUGGCGAAGGCGACUUUCUGGCCUGUAACUGACACUGAGGCGCGAAAGCGUGGGGAGCAAACAGGAUUAGAUACCCUGGUAGUCCACGCCGUAAACGAUGAGUGCUAAGUGUUGGGGGGUUUCCGCCCCUCAGUGCUGCAGCUAACGCAUUAAGCACUCCGCCUGGGGAGUACGGUCGCAAAGACUG